RNAcentral lists this long non-coding RNA (4160 nucleotides) under Homo sapiens (human). RNAcentral describes it as "long independently transcribed non-coding RNA 2377, transcript variant 21 (LINC02377)". The record is from RNAcentral. Lineage: Eukaryota; Metazoa; Chordata; Mammalia; Primates; Hominidae.
GCCAGAUAAGGGAAGCAGGCCUCCGAAGCCAGCAGUGGCAACCCACUUGGGUCCCUUUCAAUGCUGUGGAAGCGUUGUUCUUUCACUCUUCUCAAUAAAUCUUGCUGCUGCUCACUCUUUGGGUCUGCCCCGCUGUUAUGAGCUGUAACACUCACAGCCAGUGUCUGCAGUUUCACUCCUGAAGCCAGCAAGACCACAAACCCACAGGGCGGGACAAACAACUCCGGACAGGAGGAAUGAACAACUCUGGACGCGCCACUUCUAUGAACUUUUAUGAACUGUAACACUCACCGCAAAGGUCUGCAGCUUCACCCCUGAGGCCAGGGAGACCACGAACCCACCGGAAGGAAUGAACAACUCCAGACGCACUGCCUUUAAGAGCUGUAACACUUACCACGGAUGUCUGCAGCUUCACUCCUGAAGUCAGCGAGACCACAAACCCAACAGAAGGAAGAAACUCCCGACACAUCUGAACAUCUGAAGGAACAAACUCUGGACACACCAUCUUUAAGAACUGUAACACUCACCGUGAGGGUCAACCGCUUCAUUCUUGAAGUCAGCCAGACCAAGAACCCACCAAUUCCGAGUCUCACUUUGUUGCCUAAGCUAGAGUGCAGCGUCGUGAUCAAGGCUCACUGCAGCCUCAACAUCCUGAUCCCCAGUGUUCCUCCCACCUCAACCUCCCAAGUAGCUGGGACCACAGGUCUUCCUUACAAGAACUCCUGAAGGAAGUAUUAAAUAUGGAAAGGAAAAACUGGUACCAACCACUGCAAAAACAUACCAACUUGUGAAGACCCACAACACUAUGAAGAAACUGCAUCAACUAAUGGACAAAAUAAAGAGCUAGCAUCAAAAAGACAGGAUCAAAUUCACACAUAACAAUAUUAAUCUUAAAUGUAAAUGGGCUAAUGCCCCAAUUAAAAGACACAGACAGGCAAAUUGGAUAAAGAGUCAAGACCCAUCAGUGUGCUAUAUUCAGGAGACCCAUCUCCCAUGCAAAGACACACAGAGGCUCAAAAUUAAGGGAUAGAGGAAUAUUUACCAAGCAAAUAGAAAGCAAGAAAAGCAGGGGUUGCAAUCCUAGUCUCUGAUAAAACAGACUUUAAAUAAACAAAGAUCAAAAAAGACAAAGAAGGGCAUUACAUAAUGGUAAAGGGACGAAUGCAAGAAGAAGAGAUAACUAUCUUAAAUAUAUCUUGGGCACUCAAUACAAGAAUACCCAGAUUCAUUAAGCAAGUUCUUAGAGAUGUACAAAGAGACUUAGACUGCCACACAAUAAUAGUGGGAGACUUUAACACACCACUGUCAAUAUUAGACAGUUCAACAAGACAGAAAAUUAACAAGGAUAUUCAGGACUUGAACUCAGCUCUGGACAAAGCAGAUGUAAUAGACACCCACAAAACUCUCCACCUCAAAUCAACAGAAUAUACAUUCUUCUCAGCACCACGUCACACUUAUUCUAAAAUUGACCACAUAAUUGGAAGUAAAACACUCCUCAGCCAAUGUAAAAAAUGGAAAUCAUAACAAACAGUCUCUCAGAACACAGGGACACUGAACAACCUGCUCCUGAAUGACUACUGGGUAAAUAACGAAAUUAAAGCAGAAAUGAAUAAGUUCUUUGAAACCAAUGAGAACAAAGACACAACGUACCAGAAACUCUGGGACGCAGCUAAAGGAAUGUUGACAGGGAAAUUUAUAGCACUAAAUGCCCACAUGAAGAAGCGGGAGGAUCUAAAAUCAACACCCUAACAUCACAGUUAAAGAACUAGAGAAACAAGAGCAAACAAAUUCAAAAGCUAGCAGAAAACAAGAAAUAAUUAAGAUGAGAGCAGAACUGAAGGAGAUAGAGACACAAAAAAUCCUUCAAAAAAAUCAGUGAAUCCAGGAGCUGGUUUUUUGAAAAGAUUAACAAAAUAGAUAGACCGCUAGCUAUAGUAAUAAAGAAGAAAAGAGAGAAAAAUCAAAUAGAUGUAAUAAGAAAUGAUAAAGGGGAUAUCACCACUGAUCCCACAGAAAUACAAACUGCCAUCAGAGAAUACUAUAAACACCUCUAUGCAAAUAAACUAGAAAAUCUAGAAGAAAUGGAUAAAUUCCUGGACACAUACACCCUCCCAUGACUAAACCAGGAAGAAGUCGAAUCCCUAAAUAGAUCAAUAACAAGUUCUGAAAUUGAGGUAGUAAUUAACAGCCUACCAACCAAGAAAAGCCCAGGACCAGACAGAUUCACAGCCGAUUUCUAUCAGAGGUACAAAAAGGAGCUGGUACCAUUUCUCCUGAAACUAUUCCAAACAACAGGAAAAGAGAGACUCUUCCCUAACUCAUUUUAUGAGGCCAGCAUCAUCCUGAUACAGAAACCUGGCAGAGAUACAACAGUAAAGGAACAUUUCAGGCAAAUAAUGCUGAUAAACAUCGAUGCAAAAACCCUCAAUAUAAUACUGGCAAACUGAAUCCAAGAGCACAUCAAAAGCUUAUCCACCAUGAUCAAGUCAGCUUCAUCCAUGGGAUGCAAGGCUGGCUCAACAUAUACAAAUUAAUGAACAUAAUCCAUCAUAUAAACAGAACCAAUGACAAAAGCCACAUGAUUAUCGCAAGAGAUGCAGAAAAGGCCUCCGAUAAAAUUCAACACAUCUUCAUGCUAAAAACUCUCAAUAAACUAGAUAUUGAUGGAACGUAUCUCAAAAUAAUAAGAGCUAUUUAAGACAAACCCACAGCCAAUAUCACACUGAAUGGACAAAAGCUGGAAGCAUUCUCUUUGAAAACCGGCACAAGACAAGGAUGCCCUCUCUCACCACUCCUAUUCAACAUAGUGUUGGAAGUUCUGGCCAGGGCAAUCAGGCAAGAGAAAGAAAGAAGGGUAUUUAAAUAGGAACAGAGGAAGUCAAAUUGUCUCUGUUUGCAGAUGACAUGAUUGUAUAUCUAGAAAACCCCAUCGUCUCAGCCCAAAAUCUCCUUUAGCUGAUAAGCAAGUUCAGCAAAGUCUCAGGAUACAAAAUCAAUGUACAAAAAUCACAGGCAUUCCUAUACACCAAUAAUAGACAGAUAGCCAAAUUGUGAGUGAACUCCCAUUCACAAUUGCUACCAAGAGAAUAAAAUACCCAGGAAUACAACUUACAAGGGAUGUGAAGGACCUCUUCGUGGAGAAUGACGAACUACUGCUCAAGGAAAUAGGAGAGGACACAAACAAAUGAAAAAAUUUUCAUGGUUAUGGAUAGGAAGAAUCAAUGUCGUGAAAAUGGCCAUACUGCUCAAAGUAAUUUAUAUAUUCAACAACAAUAUUCUUUAAGUGAUUUUUGUAUGAUAGGGAGACUGCCUUCCAUCAAUUGAUGCACUUAUAAUUUAAUAUUUAAAAGUUCCAGGAAAUUUUUGGCAGUGAGAAACAAAACAAAAUGAAAGUGCUUGAAACCUGGGGACCUGGAGCCAUCACUUACAAUAUAGACAGGCGCCAACAGCCUUUUUUGCUUGUGGAAGUACCUCAGUCUUUUUAUACUGAUAUGAGUAUUGAAAAUGCUCAGUAAAUAUUUGUUGAAUAAUAAGUGAUCAGUCAUUUAUAUCAGAAGUAUACUUAAACUAGAAAGAGGAAACAUAGAAUCAGGCCUGAAACUGAAGCUGGAAGUCGAUGCAGAGUGAACGGAUAUAUCAGAAUCCAAAGUCUCAGCAAUGUGAUAGGUGCAAAGAUAACUAUCCGUUCUGGAAGACACAACGCAAGCAAAUUAAGCCUUGAAAGGCAAAUGACUUGACAUCACAUGUUAGGCAACCUUUUCUAUUGUUCUUCGCCUCAGAGAAUAAAUGUUUGAGUAAGACUUUCCAAACUGCUUGCAUGUUUUGUCUAUGAAUGCCAGAUGCCUCUAGUGAGCCACCUUGAAUCACUAUUCUGAAUACAUCUUGAGUAAAAAGAGAAAAUUGCUCAUGUUUCCAUGUCUAUCUGAAUCAUGUUAUUGGACCAUGAGAGCAAGCAGCUGGAUCUCAUUCUGUCCAGGACUCCUGGAAACAGCAGCUCUAACAAAAUUGUCUUCAAUAAAUAAGUUUUUUUGCAUCACAUUUGUGUAUGUCCUGAAUGUUCUGAGCCCUUCAGAUUUGACUCAUAUUCAUGCUAAAAGAAAAAAUGCAAAUGAAAAUUGUAUAGCUAAUUAUGAGAAAAAUAAAGCAUCAUAAGAAAACCA